Molecule: RNA transcript, 1244 nt
Organism: Propithecus coquereli (Coquerel's sifaka)
Lineage: Eukaryota; Metazoa; Chordata; Mammalia; Primates; Indriidae
Gene name: store-operated calcium entry-associated regulatory factor pseudogene
Exons: 1
Source: RefSeq, a predicted model, not a curated record
CCGCCGAAUCUCGGAGCGUCUCCACGCAGCUGCUCGCGCACUUCCGCAGCCCGCUUGAGGCCCGCCGGCGUCUGGCAGCCGCGCGCCAUCUUCUCUCAGCGCCAUGGCUGCGGCGGGCGGGCUGGGAGCGGCCGGGUGCUGCCCGCUCCUCGGCCUGCUUUUGCUUUCGCUGAUUGCGGGCCCUGCGCUGGGCCGGAACGACCCUGACAGAAUAUUGUUGCGGGAUGUAAAAGCUCUUACUCCACUACGACCGCUAUACCACCUCUCGUAGGCUGGAUCCGAUCCCACAGCUGAAAUGUGUUGGAGGCACAGCUGGCUGUGAUUCUUACACACCGAAAGUCAUACAGUGUCAGAACAAAGGAUGGGAUGGUUACGAUGUACAGUGGGAAUGUAAGACCGAUUUAGAUGUUGCAUACAAAUUUGGAAAAACCGUGGUGAGCUGUGAAGGCUAUGAAUCCUCUGAAGACCAAUAUGUACUAAGAGGUUCCUGUGGCUUGGAGUAUAAUUUAGAUUAUACUGAACUUGGCCUGAAGAAAUUGAGAGUCCGGAAGACUCUAUGGCUUUACCUCUUUCUCUGAUUAUUAUAACAGGUGGUACUCGGCAGAUUCUUGUAGCACGGGUGGAUUGAUUACCAUUGUGGUGCUACUUGGUAUUGCCUUUGCGGUGUAUAAGCUGUUGCUUAGCGAUGGUCAGUGUUCUCCUCCACCAUGUUCCGAGUAUCCUCCAUUUUCCCACCAUUAUCAGAGAUUCACCAACUCAGCAGGACCUCCUCCUCCAGGCUUUAAGUCUGAGUUCACAAGACUGCAGAAUACUGGCCGUGGUGCGACUCCUGGUUUUGGUAGUGCUUUCACAGGACAACAAGGAUGUGAAAACUCAGGACCAGGAUUCUGGACUGGCCUGGGAACUGGAGGAAUAUUAGGAUACUUGUUUGGCAGCAAUAGAGCAGCAACACCCUUCUCAGACUCGUGGUACUACCCAUCCUAUUCUCCACCCUACUCCAGCGCCUGGAAUAGCCGUGCUUACUCACCACUUCGUGGAGGCUCAGGUGGCUAUUCGGCAAAUUCGAACUCAGAUACGAAAACGAGAAUUGCAUCAGGAUAUGGUGGUACCAGAAGAUGGUAAAGUAGAAAGUUGAAGUCAAACACUGGAUGCAAAAUUUCUGAUUUUUCAUCACUUUCUGUUUAGAAAAAGUGCUACCUGCUAACAACUGGUGAAAGGAUAUUCAGAAGUCCUGUGGUGUUUUG